This 401-nucleotide long non-coding RNA is filed under the name Carica papaya (papaya). RNAcentral describes it as "long non-coding RNA (CPAP_LNC010408)". The record is from RNAcentral. Lineage: Eukaryota; Viridiplantae; Streptophyta; Magnoliopsida; Brassicales; Caricaceae.
AACGGAAACCAACCAUAAUCCUAAACCUAAACAAUGACCAUAACAUGAAACUAAUAAACUAAGACGAAAUUAUUAAAGUAGUUCAAUUUAAUCAACCAGUCCCACCAAGAACAGCCUUGAGUUUCUUGACCUGCGCAUCAUCAAGGAAAGUGGUUUUUUCAAUUAAGUCAGAAGGCAAAUCGUUGGCGAACAGUGCAAAGUCCAGGAUCUGCAGACCGGGAGUUGAACUACUGAAGGAGACGAAAGCAGUCGCAAAAGACUUUCCUGAAUUGACUUGAAAAUGCAGUAAGCCUUGAGGGAACACCAUGAUAUCUCCCUUGUAUAGGGUUUUAAGAUAGACUGUGUUUGCAGAUGAAAUGAAUCCAGCGCAUAUUACUCCUUCCACGACAACAAGCACUUCU